AUUUGAGUGAGUGGCGAACUGGUGAGUAACACGUGGGAAACCUGCCCAGAAGCGGGGGAUAACACCUGGAAACAGAUGCUAAUACCGCAUAACAACUUGGACCGCAUGGUCCGAGCUUGAAAGAUGGCUUCGGCUAUCACUUUUGGAUGGUCCCGCGGCGUAUUAGCUAGAUGGUGGGGUAACGGCUCACCAUGGCAAUGAUACGUAGCCGACCUGAGAGGGUAAUCGGCCACAUUGGGACUGAGACACGGCCCAAACUCCUACGGGAGGCAGCAGUAGGGAAUCUUCCACAAUGGACGAAAGUCUGAUGGAGCAACGCCGCGUGAGUGAAGAAGGGUUUCGGCUCGUAAAACUCUGUUGUUAAAGAAGAACAUAUCUGAGAGUAACUGUUCAGGUAUUGACGGUAUUUAACCAGAAAGCCACGGCUAACUACGUGCCAGCAGCCGCGGUAAUACGUAGGUGGCAAGCGUUGUCCGGAUUUAUUGGGCGUAAAGCGAGCG
Molecule: ribosomal RNA, 500 nt
Filed under: Lactiplantibacillus plantarum
Lineage: Bacteria; Bacillati; Bacillota; Bacilli; Lactobacillales; Lactobacillaceae
Description: bacterial SSU rRNA
Rfam family: Bacterial small subunit ribosomal RNA
Source: RNAcentral